GAUGAACGCUAGCGGCAGGCUUAAUACAUGCAAGUCGAGGGCAGCGCGGGUAGCAAUACCUGGCGGCGACCGGCGCACGGGUGCGUAACGCGUAUGUAAUCUACCAUUAACCGGGGAAUAGCCCAGAGAAAUCUGGAUUAAUGCCCCAUAGCAUUAUUGGAAGGCAUCUUUUGAUAAUUAAAGAAUUUCGGUUUUGAUGAACAUGCGUGUCAUUAGUUUGUUGGUGAGGUAACGGCUCACCAAGACUACGAUGACUAGGGGGUCUGAGAGGAUGAUCCCCCACACUGGUACUGAGACACGGACCAGACUCCUACGGGAGGCAGCAGUAAGGAAUAUUGGGCAAUGGAGGCAACUCUGACCCAGCCAUGCCGCGUGAAGGAUUGACGGCCCUCUGGGUUGUAAACUUCUUUUGUACGGGAAUAACCCUCCGAACGUGUUCGGAGCUGAAGGUACCGUAAGAAUAAGGAUCGGCUAACUCCGUG
Molecule: ribosomal RNA, 482 nt
Filed under: uncultured bacterium
Lineage: Bacteria
Description: bacterial SSU rRNA
Rfam family: Bacterial small subunit ribosomal RNA
Source: RNAcentral